CCUGCGCCAGGGACCGAAGCGGAAAUCCUUUCUCGUUAUGAGAAAGAUUGUAGCGAAGGGCCCGGUCCCUA
RNAcentral lists this small RNA (71 nucleotides) under Leptospira biflexa serovar Patoc strain 'Patoc 1 (Paris)'. Its description in RNAcentral is "Flavo-1 RNA". It matches the Rfam family "Flavo-1 RNA". The record is from Rfam by way of RNAcentral. Lineage: Bacteria; Pseudomonadati; Spirochaetota; Leptospiria; Leptospirales; Leptospiraceae.